AUUGAACGCUGGCGGCAGGCCUAACACAUGCAAGUCGAACGGUAACAGGAAGCAGCUUGCUGCUUCGCUGACGAGUGGCGGACGGGUGAGUAAUGUCUGGGAAACUGCCUGAUGGAGGGGGAUAACUACUGGAAACGGUAGCUAAUACCGCAUAACGUGGCAAGACCAAAGAGGGGGACCUUAGGGCCUCUUGCCAUCGGAUGUGCCCAGAUGGGAUUAGCUAGUAGGUGGGGUAACGGCUCACCUAGGCGACGAUCCCUAGCUGGUCUGAGAGGAUGACCAGCCACACUGGAACUGAGACACGGUCCAGACUCCUACGGGAGGCAGCAGUGGGGAAUAUUGCACAAUGGGCGCAAGCCUGAUGCAGCCAUGCCGCGUGUAUGAAGAAGGCCUUCGGGUUGUAAAGUACUUUCAGCGGGGAGGAAGGGAGUAAAGUUAAUACCUUUGCUCAUUGACGUUACCCGCAGAAGAAGCACCGGCUAACUCCGUG
This 490-nucleotide ribosomal RNA is filed under the name uncultured bacterium. RNAcentral describes it as "partial 16S ribosomal RNA". It matches the Rfam family "Bacterial small subunit ribosomal RNA", at positions 30 to 507 of the family's 1533-position model. The record is from RNAcentral.